This 425-nucleotide ribosomal RNA is filed under the name uncultured bacterium. Its description in RNAcentral is "bacterial SSU rRNA". It matches the Rfam family "Bacterial small subunit ribosomal RNA", at positions 355 to 796 of the family's 1533-position model. The record is from RNAcentral.
UAGGGAAUUUUCCACAAUGGGCGAAAGCCUGAUGGAGCAACGCCGCGUGCAGGAUGAAGGCCUUCGGGUUGUAAACUGCUUUUAUUUGUGAAGAUUAUGACGGUAACAAAUGAAUAAGGACCUGCUAACUACGUGCCAGCAGCCGCGGUCAUACGUGGGGUCCAAGCGUUAUCCGGAAUUACUGGGCGUAAAGAGUUGCGUAGGUGGCAAAGUAAGCAGGUAGUGAAAUUGUGUGGCUCAACCAUACACCCAUUAUCUAAACUGCUCAGCUAGAGUAUGGGAGAGGUCACUGGAAUUUCUAGUGUAGGAGUGAAAUCCGUAGAUAUUAGAAGGAACACCGAUGGCGUAGGCAGGUGACUGGCCCAUUACUGACACUAAGGCACGAAAGCGUGGGGAGCGAACUGGAUUAGAUACCCCGGUAGUCC